This 278-nucleotide ribosomal RNA is filed under the name Escherichia coli. Its description in RNAcentral is "partial 23S ribosomal RNA". It matches the Rfam family "Bacterial large subunit ribosomal RNA", at positions 389 to 667 of the family's 2925-position model. The record is from RNAcentral. Lineage: Bacteria; Pseudomonadati; Pseudomonadota; Gammaproteobacteria; Enterobacterales; Enterobacteriaceae.
UGCACAUGCUGUGAGCUCGAUGAGUAGGGCGGGACACGUGGUAUCCUGUCUGAAUAUGGGGGGACCAUCCUCCAAGGCUAAAUACUCCUGACUGACCGAUAGUGAACCAGUACCGUGAGGGAAAGGCGAAAAGAACCCCGGCGAGGGGAGUGAAAAAGAACCUGAAACCGUGUACGUACAAGCAGUGGGAGCACAGAGCAAUCUGUGUGACUGCGUACCUUUUGUAUAAUGGGUCAGCGACUUAUAUUCUGUAGCAAGGUUAACCGAAUAGGGGAGCC